This 338-nucleotide ribosomal RNA is filed under the name uncultured bacterium. Its description in RNAcentral is "partial 16S ribosomal RNA". It matches the Rfam family "Bacterial small subunit ribosomal RNA", at positions 355 to 712 of the family's 1533-position model. The record is from RNAcentral.
UGGGGGAUAUUGCACAAUGGAGGAAACUCUGAUGCAGCAACGCCGCGUGAAGGAUGAAGGUCUUCGGAUUGUAAACUUUGUACUUGGGGACGAUAAUGACGGUACCCAAGCAGCAAGCUCCGGCUAACUACGUGCCAGCAGCCGCGGUAAUACGUAGGGAGCAAGCGUUGUCCGGAUUUACUGGGUGUAAAGGGUGCGUAGGCGGCUAUGCAAGUCAGUUGUGAAAACUAUGGGCUCAACCCAUAGCCUGCAAUUGAAACUGCGUGGCUUGAUGAAGUAGAGGUAGGUGGAAUUCCCGGUGUAGCGGUGAAAUGCGUANAGAUCGGGAGGAACACCAG